GACGAACGCUGGCGGCGUGCUUAACACAUGCAAGUCGAACGGAAAGGCCCUGCUUUUGUGGGGUGCUCGAGUGGCGAACGGGUGAGUAACACGUGAGUAACCUUCCCUUGACUUUCGGAUAACUUCAGGAAAAUGGGGCUAAAACCGGAUAGGAGCUCCUGCUGCAUGGUGGGGGUUGGAAAGUUUCGGCGGUUGGGGAUGGACUCGCGGCUUAUCAGCUUGUUGGUGGGGUAGUGGCUUACCAAGGCUUUGACGGGUAGCCGGCCUGAGAGGGUGACCGGCCACAUUGGGACUGAGAUACGGCCCAGACUCCUACGGGAGGCAGCAGUGGGGAAUAUUGCACAAUGGGCGGAAGCCUGAUGCAGCAACGCCGCGUGCGGGAUGACGGCCUUCGGGUUGUAAACCGCAUUCGCCUGUGACGAAGCGUGAGUGACGGUAAUGGGUAAAGAAGCACCGGCUAACUACGUG
Molecule: ribosomal RNA, 468 nt
Filed under: uncultured bacterium
Lineage: Bacteria
Description: partial 16S ribosomal RNA
Rfam family: Bacterial small subunit ribosomal RNA
Source: RNAcentral